This 395-nucleotide ribosomal RNA is filed under the name uncultured bacterium. Its description in RNAcentral is "bacterial SSU rRNA". It matches the Rfam family "Bacterial small subunit ribosomal RNA", at positions 505 to 898 of the family's 1533-position model. The record is from RNAcentral.
GUGCCAGCCGCCGCGGUAAUACGGAGGUGGCAAGCGUUGCUCGGAAUCACUGGGCGUAAAGGGCGCGUAGGCGGGGAGGUAAGUCGGGUGUGAAAUCCCUCGGCCCAACCGAGGAACUGCGCCCGAGACUGCUUCUCUUGAGUCCCGGAGAGGAAGAUGGAAUUCCCGGUGUAGCGGUGAAAUGUGUAGAGAUCGGGAGGAACACCGGUGGCGAAGGCGGUCUUCUGGACGGUGACUGACGCUGAGGCGCGAAAGCGUGGGGAGCAAACGGGAUUAGAUACCCCGGUAGUCCACGCUGUAAACGAUGGGUGCUAGGUGUGGGGGGUAUCGACCCCUCCCGUGCCGAAGCUAACGCAUUAAGCACCCCGCCUGGGGAGUACGGCCGCAAGGUUGAA